Otolemur garnettii (small-eared galago) is the source of this 72-nucleotide small nuclear RNA. Its record names the gene U5. It matches the Rfam family "U5 spliceosomal RNA". From Rfam's summary of the family: U5 RNA is a component of both types of known spliceosome. The precise function of this molecule is unknown, though it is known that the 5' loop is required for splice site selection and p220 binding, and that both the 3' stem-loop and the Sm site are important for Sm protein binding and cap methylation. The record is from Ensembl. NCBI's taxonomy places the organism in Eukaryota, Metazoa, Chordata, Mammalia, Primates, Galagidae.
UCUGGUUUCUCUUCAGAUCAUAUAAAUCUUUUGCCUUUUACUAAAGAUUUCCAUGGAGAGGAACAACUCUGA